GACGAACGCUGGCGGCGUGCCUAAUACAUGCAAGUCGAGCGAAUUUACGAGAGCUUGCUCUCGUAAAUUAGCGGCGGACGGGUGAGUAACACGUGGGCAACCUGCCUAUAAGACUGGGAUAACUUCGGGAAACCGGAGCUAAUACCGGAUAAUUCACAUCUACUCAUGUAGAUGUGCUGAAAGACGGUUUACGCUGUCACUUAUAGAUGGGCCCGCGGCGCAUUAGCUAGUUGGUGAGGUAACGGCUCACCAAGGCCACGAUGCGUAGCCGACCUGAGAGGGUGAUCGGCCACACUGGGACUGAGACACGGCCCAGACUCCUACGGGAGGCAGCAGUAGGGAAUCUUCCGCAAUGGACGAAAGUCUGACGGAGCAACGCCGCGUGAGUGAUGAAGGUUUUC
Molecule: ribosomal RNA, 401 nt
Filed under: uncultured bacterium
Lineage: Bacteria
Description: bacterial SSU rRNA
Rfam family: Bacterial small subunit ribosomal RNA
Source: RNAcentral